RNAcentral lists this ribosomal RNA (441 nucleotides) under uncultured bacterium. RNAcentral's name for it is "partial 16S ribosomal RNA". It matches the Rfam family "Bacterial small subunit ribosomal RNA", at positions 338 to 795 of the family's 1533-position model. The record is from RNAcentral.
CCUACGGGAGGCUGCAGUGGGGAAUAUGGCACAAUGGGGGAAACCCUGAUGCAGCAACGCCGCGUGAAGGAAGAAGGUUUUCGGAUGGGAAACGUCUGUUCGUAGUGAAGAAGAAUGACGGUAGCUAAGGAGCAAGCCACGGCUAACUACGUGCCAGCAGCCGCGGUAAUACGUAGGUGGCAAGCGUUGUCCGGAAUUACUGGGUGUAAAGGGAGCGCAGGCGGGAAGCCAAGUCAGCUGUGAAAACUACGGGCUUAACUUGUAGACUGCAGUUGAAACUGGUUUUCUGGAGUGAAGUAGAGGUUGGCGGAAUUCCGGGUGUAGCGGUGAAAUGCGUAGAUAUUCGGAGGAACACCGGUGGCGAAGGCGGCCGACUGGGCUUUAACUGACGCUGAGGCUCGAAAGUGUGGGGAGCAAACAGGAUUAGAUACCCGGGUAGUC